Molecule: ribosomal RNA, 468 nt
Filed under: uncultured bacterium
Lineage: Bacteria
Description: partial 16S ribosomal RNA
Rfam family: Bacterial small subunit ribosomal RNA
Source: RNAcentral
GACGAACGCUGGCGGCGUGCUUAACACAUGCAAGUCGAACGGAAAGGCCCUGCUUUUGUGGGGUGCUCGAGUGGCGAACGGGUGAGUAACACGUGAGUAACCUGCCCUUGACUUUGGGAUAACUUCAGGAAACUGGGGCUAAUACCGGAUAGGAGCUCCUGCUGCAUGGUGGGGGUUGGAAAGUUUCGGCGGUUGGGGAUGGACUCGCGGCUUAUCAGCUUGUUGGUGGGGUAGUGGCUUACCAAGGCUUUGACGGGUAGCCGGCCUGAGAGGGUGACCGGCCACAUUGGGACUGAGGUACGGCCCAGACUCCUACGGGAGGCAGCAGUGGAGAAUAUUGCACAAUGGGCGGAAGCCUGAUGCAGCAACGCCGCGUGCGGGAUGACGGCCUUCUGGUUGUAAACCGCUUUCGCCUGUGACGAAGCGUGAGUGACGGUAAUGGGUAAAGAAGCACCGGCUAACUACGUG